GGCUUCAUGGUCAAGUGGUAAGAACACUUGCCUGCCACCCUGGAGUCACGGGUUCGCUCCCCGGUCGAAGAGCUA
Rhamnusium bicolor is the source of this 75-nucleotide non-coding RNA. NCBI's taxonomy places the organism in Eukaryota, Metazoa, Arthropoda, Insecta, Coleoptera, Cerambycidae. The record is from the annotation of a GenBank genome assembly.